CAAAUAUGACUAGAUGUUAUGUGUUUGAUUGAGUAUAAGAACUAGAACCGCAACAUCUUCCCAAAAGCUAAAGUUGUGUUUCCCUUCUAGAAGAUACAAAGCCAAAAACUCAUACGGACUUUGGCUACACCAUCAAAGCUUUAAGAAGCAACAAGAAGUUUCGUUAGUGUUUUGGAGUAAAAAAAGACUAUA
This 192-nucleotide small RNA is filed under the name Arabidopsis thaliana (thale cress). RNAcentral describes it as "ATSL197370". Lineage: Eukaryota; Viridiplantae; Streptophyta; Magnoliopsida; Brassicales; Brassicaceae. The record is from RNAcentral.